UGGCGACCGGCGCACGGGUGAGUAACGCGUAUCCAACCUGCCCUUUACUAUGGGGACAGCCCGUCGAAAGGCGGAUUAAUACCGUAUGUUGUCAUGUUGAUGCANAUUUUCAUGACCAAAGGGCUUCGGCCGGUAAAGGAUGGGGAUGCGUCUGAUUAGCUUGCCGGCGGGGUAACGGCCCACCGGGGCGACGAUCAGUAGGGGUUCUGAGAGGAAGGUCCCCCACAUUGGAACUGAGACACGGUCCAAACUCCUACGGAAGGCAGCAG
RNAcentral lists this ribosomal RNA (269 nucleotides) under uncultured bacterium. Its description in RNAcentral is "partial 16S ribosomal RNA". It matches the Rfam family "Bacterial small subunit ribosomal RNA", at positions 89 to 354 of the family's 1533-position model. The record is from RNAcentral.